CGGGAAUUCCGAGACAGGUGCUGCAUGGCUGUCGUCAGCUCGUGCCGUGAGGUGUUGGGUUAAGUCCCGCAACGAGCGCAACCCUAUUGCCAGUUGCUACCAGGUAAUGCUGGGCACUCUGGUGAGACUGCCCCGGUUAACGGGGAGGAAGGUGGGGACGACGUCAAGUCAUCAUGGCCCUUACGCCUAGGGCUACACACGUACUACAAUGGCGCAUACAAAGGGCAGCGAUACCGCGAGGUGGAGCCAAUCCCAAAAAGUGCGUCCCAGUCCGGAUUGCAGUCUGCAACUCGACUGCAUGAAGUUGGAAUCGCUAGUAAUUCGAGAUCAGCAUGCUCGGGUGAAUGCGUUCCCGGGCCUU
This 361-nucleotide ribosomal RNA is filed under the name uncultured Desulfovibrio sp. RNAcentral's name for it is "bacterial SSU rRNA". It matches the Rfam family "Bacterial small subunit ribosomal RNA", at positions 1021 to 1382 of the family's 1533-position model. The record is from RNAcentral. Lineage: Bacteria; Pseudomonadati; Thermodesulfobacteriota; Desulfovibrionia; Desulfovibrionales; Desulfovibrionaceae.